CCAGACUCAGAACAGGGCUCCUUGCUAUCCAGGCUGACUUGGAGGGGAUUCGAGUGGGCUGAGUGGCCUGAACAUGCCUUCGGCGGCUGCUUCUUGUGCUCCCCAUCUAGGGAAGAGGGAAGCCACACAGAAUUUCUGACAGACAAUGACUGAGUUUCUGCUCCAACUCUGCUAGGAAUGGAGAAUUCACUACUUCAAAAGGGAAGAUUUACUUUACUUUUCAGGAGCCUGGGGGUACUACUACCACCCUGAGAUUAAUCCAGUUUCAUGAACUGAAAUCAUUUGAAGGGUCAUAUGGAGGAUGGGCCACGUGAAGACAGAGGCAGAGAUUGGAGAGAUGUGGCUGUGUGCCAAGAACUUGAAGGAUUGCUAGCAACCCUCAGCAGCCAGGAGAAAGGCAUGAGGUGGACUCUCCUCAGAGCCUCUAGACCGAACCAAGCCUACUUUACCCUGAUUUGGGGCUAUGGCCUUCUGAGCUGCAAGAGUGUGAAUUUCUGUUGUUUUAAUCUAAGUUUGUGAUAAUUUUUAUGGAAGCCACAGGAAACUAAUACGGGGUGGUGUGAUCUAAUUCAUGUGAUGGAAGGUCACUCUGGAGGCUGUCUGAAGAUAAACUCUAGGGGGCCAAGACUAAUGGUGGCAUUGAGGCCUGUUUGGAUGGGGUGCAGGGGUCCAGGUCACAGAUCACGUCACUAGAACUAGGGUGGUGACUGGGCAGAUGAUGAGAAGCUCUCAGUUUCAGGAUAUAUUUGGGAAACCCUACAGGCUCUACUCUUGGAUUAGAUGUUGAGGGAGGCCUGUGAGAUGAGGAAGAGGGGUUAAAUGUGACCCUUGGGUUUGCGGUUUAUGCAACUGGUAUGAUUUAUUGAGAGGAAGAGGCUCAGGGAGCUGAGCUGGGAUUGAGGUCUAUGCUUUUAUCAUGCUGAGUUUAAGAUACCUAUUUGAAUCCUAAGUAGAGACGCUUAGCUAAGCAUUUAGCCUUCAUAGUCUAGGGCUUUAGGGAGAAGUAGGCACAGUAUACAAUCUGAAAGGCAUCAGCAUAUAGGUGAUAUUUAAAAUCUUGGGACUAGGGAGAAUGGAUACUGAAGAGAGAAGAGCUGAUGUCAGAACUUUGGGAGAGUCAGAGAAAAUUUAGAGAUGUGGCAGAGGCAAAGGAGCCUGGAAAAGCGUGGAGAGGGGUGUAAGAGGAACACCAGGCAGAGGUGGGAUUGCAGAAGUCACCUAAGAGAGUGUUUCUAGAAGGGAGGGAUCAGCCCCAAGUGCUGCUGAGGGCUUGAGCAAGAUGAACACUCAGGUGACUGUUACCUGAGUUUGAGGUAGGUCUUCGGUGACCUAUUUCAGGAAGGAGGUGGAGGUGAAAGUUUGCUGGGGGUGCCAGGAGGUAGUGAGGGUGAGUCCAGAAAACUCUUUGGAGAAAUUUGUCUCUGAAAGGAAGCUUGGAUGUGUGGUUUGCUGGAGGGGCUGCAGAAUCAAGGGAGAAAAGGAUUAAUGGGGGAGGGGGUGUGUCCUUGAGGAGAUGGGGAGGAUUCAGGGAAUGAGUGUGGUCUUGGCCUUUGCAGCUCAGGGGCAAUUUUUCUGUUGUGUGAGGUAAGGGGCCUGUGGGCAGGGCUGCUGAUGGGCUGGUGGAGGGAGCUGGUUGCUGGUAGACAGGGUAGGGAAGUUGAGCUCAGGACCAAUGAUGAGGGCUGCCAUCCCUGCUGCAGGACCUUUGCAGGGGAGACACCCCAGUCUCAGAGGUGGUUUGUCCAAUCCAAGUGGCAGGGGCCCAGGAUUCUGUGUCAAACAAUGAACUAAAAAAAGGUAUCUCCUCUCCCUUGAGGGUCAGGAACCACUGCUUCCUUUCUUCCCUCCACCCUCCUUCCCCUCCCCAUCCACUCUCAGUGAUUCUGAGGGGUCAGAGCAUUUUUCUGUUAAACCCUUUAAAUACCAAGGGUCUGAUUAUAUUCCCUGUUUCUAGAAUAAUCUUGUUCCUACUUUUCAAAUAAAGCCAAUGAAGUCAUUCCUCAUGAGUCCCCUUUGUCUGGGAGCAUAGGAACCUCUCUGCACCUGUCCUUUCCAGUAGCUCCUUUGGACAUCCUUAGGGGCCCUCACUCAUUUUCUUGCCACAGCUGUCUUACAGGGCUUCUCUCAUGGAGCUGGGUUUCUGACACUUCCCUCCACAAGGGGAAAGUCUCCGUAAAUUAUUCUUAGCAAAUGAAUACAUAAUAUGGUUUGGUUUGCUGUCUUUUAUCUCUGACGGCAGUUUUUUAAGAGUCUUCCACAGACCACUAGUCCCGUGAAAUAUUCUGUCCCCAAAAGAAUUUUAUGGUCAAACCAAUUUUGGAUAUCUUGCGUGUUAAAGGCUCAGAGAACCCUGCAGUUAAAAACUUAACUAUGUUUUAUCCCAUAUUUCUCAAACAUAUUUGACCAUUCAGUGUGUUGCAGAACACAUUUUGGGAAAUUUCUACCUCUACUGCACUCAGUGUACCAGGAAAAAGAGUCAUUCCUGCUUACCAACUGUAUCUGAUGGAAACAUUAAAAAAUACUUUUCGGUUAUUGUACAAAUCAUUUGUAGAAGAGUGAAAAAUUAGGAACUCAGAUAGAAAUUUAGAACUAGAACUGAACACAGAAAGUCCAAAUUUUUCUUCCAGUUUUCCUGAUUUUGGGCCUAUACAUAUAUGAAGUGAGCAACACCCUUUGGAUGCAACUGCUCAUCAGCUGACAUGCAUGAUUCUGCAACAGCUGUCUUGUAAAUACUGACUCAGACUUCCAAUCUCUAAUAAGUUCCAGUUAUCAUUGCUUCUUCUUCUUCUUCUGCACUUGUAUUGUUAAAAACACAAGAAAAAAAUCAAAGGCUUUGAUAAUUUUGAUGAAGGGCAGAUGGCCAUAUUCUUUCCUCCCUUAUUGCAAAGUAUUUUCAUUUUUAGAUUAUAAACCAAUGAACUUGGUCAGCCCAGCAAGUUUCUGUUUCCUCCCAGUCACUUUUCUGUACCCACCUGCCUUUAAUAUCUGUCUACUCAAGUAGAUUCCCAGGGCAUCAACACCUUAAAAGAUGAAGGAACACUGCCAGACAGCCACUCAACAAUGGUCCAGGAUCUCGUGACAAAAUGUGAGCUGAAGUCUUCCUGGUGGAAUGACUGAAGGAGAACACCAUAUUUCCCUUUGGUCCAUAGAAAUAUAUCAUGUGCCAUCAAAUUUUGGAUUUGAGAAAAUUUGCUGAGGAUAUUUAUAUCUGAAGACUUGGCUUCUGAGAUUUCAUUUGUACGAUCAAGUUCACCAUUGCAAUUAGAGCUGAGUUCUGUUGUCUCUGCCUUCAUCUUCUGAUUCAUCCAAGAAUUAUGAAACAUCUUCCUUUACUUUUUCUCUUUGCCAUUAAAGACAGAAACUAAAAAAUUAUGAAUCUUCAACUGUGUUCAGUACAAGCUACAAAGAUGGUGUCUACAGUCUUCUUUUAUGCCUCCUUAAAGGUGAUGCCAUGCUCUUGCCAAUGCAAUAGGAAAAUGGAUGAUGCAAUUGUGAUGAAUUAUUUCAGGAUUACACCAUUAUUCUAGGUCAUUUCAUCAUCCUUCUCCUUUGUUUUUAGUAUUCUUCAGAAUAAUUCUUGAGUAAUGAUGAAUUAGCAGAUAUGUUUCACGACAUGGGAAAAAUAAGAAUCCUAAGAUCCCCAACAGUAACUUAAUGCAUAAGAGAGUCCAAUGGAUGCAUAUGGUAAUUACAAUAUAGAUUGAGUUUCAUUCCUUUAAGAAAAAUAAGCAAUUACUUCUUUUUUCUUUGGAAAACCUCUAAUAAUAAAGAAUAAAAGUCAAGUAAUAUCAAUCUUUACAAGUAGAUAAA
This is a long non-coding RNA of Manis pentadactyla (Chinese pangolin), 3810 nucleotides long. RefSeq lists it as uncharacterized. The record is from RefSeq and is a predicted model, not a curated record. The transcript has 4 exons. NCBI's taxonomy places the organism in Eukaryota, Metazoa, Chordata, Mammalia, Pholidota, Manidae.